UGGAAGAAAAUACAAGAAAACAGAGAAAGCACAUUAGAGCCUGGGGCUUGAAGGACUCUCUGAUCCCGUGUGCUGUCAGGCUGCAGUCCAUCCUGCAUCCCUUUGGCCCAAUUUGAGAUUGUUUUCGUUGAUUUUUCUUUGCGUAAAGUCUUAUAGAGGCCGGCGAGAAGUUUCAGGCCUCACACAAAGUAACAAGAUCGCCCAAACAAUUUAAGUGUUUGUCUUCCCUGGAACCCGGGGCUCAUGCCACCCUUCCCACUACUUCUCCAAAGAUGCAUGUGGGCGGUGCCUGGCCUUUCAGCCACAGGCGGCUGGGAAUCUCUUCCACCCCCUCAGCACCAGCUAGGCUCACUGGACGAUGAAGCCUCUGGCUAGAACUGCUCAUGUGCAGACUGUCAGGAAAGAGAGAGAGGACCCCACAAUGGAAACUGCUGCAGUGGGUACCAAGCCUUCAGGAGCGCAGAUGCCUGGAACUUACCAACCUGCCUGGGUGUCCUGAGGGCUGAGUUCAGAUGUGUGUCACCACCCUCAGCUCUCACAGAUACCUGCAGUGAUCUUUUUACCAUGUGAACGCAUGCUCUGAGAGUUGUACCAGUACUGAGAACAAAGGACAGGGCAGGGAGCUCAACGGCCUACAGCAGCUCUGUCUGUGACAGGGAGAGCUGUUCCCAGCAGACACCAAAGAGAGAGAACUUUGGGAGCGCAGCAAGCAAGCCCCAUUCCCAGCCAGGCAUUCUGCAAAUGCUCCGUCCAGCAGCGCCACCUGCCGGCCACAUCCAAGCGCAUUCCCUUCCUCCCUUACCAGCUUCUAUUAAAAAAUGUCUUAGUGUGGAUCUGAGUUCAAGGCCAACCUAAUCUACAGAAGCGGGGACAUCAGACCCAGGUCACCCUCCAGCAGACUUCUGAGGCAAUGAAUGAACGAAGGGGAUUGGACUGCUUUGGCCUGGGCUCUGUCAUCUCUGACAGGGAGCCCUGAGUAGUCAUUACAAUAUCCGGAUGGCCCAUCUCCUUUCUCCUGGACACCAGGACCACUAACUUGAUCUUGUCAAAGUUUUGGGGACCUACCUCUCCUCAUUUUCCUAUUGUCAGGGUAUGGGCACAACCUUACCUGGUGCUCAAGAGCCUGAGAACCAGAUGGCCUGAGCCUUCCUGCAGACCCAGGGACCCACGAGACAGCUCUGGCUGACCCCAAGACCUCAGACUGUGCUCCCCCACCCCUGGAGCAGUGUCCCGCGGCUUCCUCAUAGCCCGAUACUUGCCAGGCACCUGCAUGAGGGCCCAAGCUUCUGAGACAGAAGGAGGGAUCUGAGCCACAUCCACUGGUGUCCUGUGAAGAAAAUGCCCGGUUGAGUACAGUGUGGCUAUCAUUUGGUCACCCUGUCACUCAUUUCCCCCCCCACCCCCCGACUGUACAGCUCAGAAAGAAAACACCAGGUGACCUCCUUUAAGAGUAAAACUCUCAUCUUCCUUAUCUCUGUCUCUGUCUAUUUAUAAGGGAAUCUAGUGGCUUAGCCUUGGCAGUCAGUCUCAGGAAUGAGGAAAUGGCCAAAUAAGGGAGACAAAAGUAGGGAGGAAGGACAGGGGACAUGGUGGUGCCAUGUUCUCCAUGUUUGAGCCUGUCAGAGCUCUCCUCCCUCUCUCUCAUGAGCGCACACAUCUCUCACACAGCACACUUGGACCUGGACAGGGGAAGCACACUUCAAAUAUUGACACCACAAAAUAAUGGCAACCAGGCUAGAGAAUGGAGGGACCUUUUUAUCCCAUUUCGUCUCCACUCAGAAUCUAGUGGAGAAAAAAAAUGAACCAUUUGCUCCAGCAGCAGACCCUAAAGUCCAGGAACAGGACAAUAAAAUUACCCACUAGAGGAACAGCUUAAAGAUAGUCACAUGACUAGGAGACAUCUUAUCUCAGGAUAGGCCAUCUGCUGGGCAGCCCAUUCUGCGGUUAAUCAUUCAGGAUGCAGAAAUGCAACCCACGAGAGGCAUCCCAGCACCUUUUAAUACAGUCUUAGAUUACCUAAGUCUAACAAUAAAAUAAUAAACCGUCUACCCAUUGUAAGUGUAGGGUACUUUGCUUCUGUAGUUGAUCUGCCUGUCUGAGUUGUUCCUGGGGCUAGAAGCUGCAGUCUCUGG
Long non-coding RNA from Mus musculus (house mouse), 2132 nucleotides. RefSeq annotates it as predicted gene, 33566. The transcript is spliced from 7 exons. NCBI's taxonomy places the organism in Eukaryota, Metazoa, Chordata, Mammalia, Rodentia, Muridae. The record is from RefSeq and is a predicted model, not a curated record.